GCUUCUAUGGCCAAGUUGGCAAGGCGCCACACUAGUAAUGUGGAGAUCAUCAGUUCGACUCUGGUUGGAAGCA
RNAcentral lists this transfer RNA (73 nucleotides) under Tetrapisispora phaffii CBS 4417. RNAcentral's name for it is "tRNA-Thr (AGT) (tRNA-Thr-AGT-2-1)". It matches the Rfam family "tRNA". Rfam says of the family: Transfer RNA (tRNA) molecules are approximately 80 nucleotides in length. Their secondary structure includes four short double-helical elements and three loops (D, anti-codon, and T loops). Further hydrogen bonds mediate the characteristic L-shaped molecular structure. tRNAs have two regions of fundamental functional importance: the anti-codon, which is responsible for specific mRNA codon recognition, and the 3' end, to which the tRNAs corresponding amino acid is attached (by aminoacyl-tRNA synthetases). tRNAs cope with the degeneracy of the genetic code in two manners: having more than one tRNA (with a specific anti-codon) for a particular amino acid; and 'wobble' base-pairing, i.e. permitting non-standard base-pairing at the 3rd anti-codon position. Lineage: Eukaryota; Fungi; Ascomycota; Saccharomycetes; Saccharomycetales; Saccharomycetaceae. The record is from Rfam by way of RNAcentral.